Molecule: transfer RNA, 110 nt
Filed under: Aspergillus coremiiformis
Lineage: Eukaryota; Fungi; Ascomycota; Eurotiomycetes; Eurotiales; Aspergillaceae
Rfam family: tRNA
About the family: Transfer RNA (tRNA) molecules are approximately 80 nucleotides in length. Their secondary structure includes four short double-helical elements and three loops (D, anti-codon, and T loops). Further hydrogen bonds mediate the characteristic L-shaped molecular structure. tRNAs have two regions of fundamental functional importance: the anti-codon, which is responsible for specific mRNA codon recognition, and the 3' end, to which the tRNAs corresponding amino acid is attached (by aminoacyl-tRNA synthetases). tRNAs cope with the degeneracy of the genetic code in two manners: having more than one tRNA (with a specific anti-codon) for a particular amino acid; and 'wobble' base-pairing, i.e. permitting non-standard base-pairing at the 3rd anti-codon position.
Source: Rfam by way of RNAcentral
GGCGAGGUGGCCGAGUGGUCUAAGGCGCACGGUUCAGGUGCAUCUGAAUCUUCGGGCUUAACAGCUUCCGUGUCAUGUAAAUGGCGUGGGUUCGAAUCCCACCCUCGUCA